GUGGAGCACAAACCAAAAAGUCAAAAGUACAAAAAACAGUUUCAAUUCUGUUUUCAAACACAGUUCUAGUCUAAAAUUUUAAGAAUGUAUCGCAUUGUGCUGUUCAUGCUGCCGAUAGUGGCAAAUCGGGUCUGGAACUCGACGAAGCUUGUGAUGGUACGCGGGGAGCCCCCCCAGAUGGCCGAAAAUCUGUUGAUGUCCCGGCUAACCGUCCCAGGAGAACGUAAGGAUGGCAAUUAGAAAGCGGCGGCAACCUAAAAAUCCCCAAAUGAGAGUUUUUUAAUGCAGAUUUUAACAAAAUUGGAUGUUUUUAAAUAACUAAUAGUUCUAUGAAUUUAUGCUGUUAAUUGUAUUAGAUUCGACACUUGCUGAGAAAACGGAUAGACGGAUUUGCAGUGAAUCUUUUUUGUUCAAAUUAAUGGGAAAUAUAUCAAUUUGUAGAACUAUUUG
Molecule: long non-coding RNA, 450 nt
Organism: Drosophila pseudoobscura
Lineage: Eukaryota; Metazoa; Arthropoda; Insecta; Diptera; Drosophilidae
Exons: 2
Source: RefSeq, a predicted model, not a curated record